Small nuclear RNA from Ochotona princeps (American pika), 144 nucleotides. Its record names the gene U2. It matches the Rfam family "U2 spliceosomal RNA". Rfam says of the family: U2 is a small nuclear RNA (snRNA) component of the spliceosome (involved in pre-mRNA splicing). Complementary binding between U2 snRNA (in an area lying towards the 5' end but 3' to hairpin I) and the branchpoint sequence (BPS) of the intron results the bulging out of an unpaired adenosine, on the BPS, which initiates a nucleophilic attack at the intronic 5' splice site, thus starting the first of two transesterification reactions that mediate splicing. NCBI's taxonomy places the organism in Eukaryota, Metazoa, Chordata, Mammalia, Lagomorpha, Ochotonidae. The record is from Ensembl.
AUCACUGCUUGGCCUUUUGGCUAAGAUCAAGCGUAGUAUCUGUUCUCAUGUAGCAUUUACAACAGCCAAGGAUUUUAAUUUUUGAUGCAUUUAAACCUUGUCAAAUAUGAAGUCACACAGAAUUUAAACUCAUGACUGCCUACA